Molecule: long non-coding RNA, 657 nt
Organism: Eleginops maclovinus (Patagonian blennie)
Lineage: Eukaryota; Metazoa; Chordata; Actinopteri; Perciformes; Eleginopidae
Exons: 3
Source: RefSeq, a predicted model, not a curated record
CGUCGAAGGGGCCAGAGAGGCAGUGGAGGAGGCCACAGAGGAGCUCUCGCUCUUGGGCUCCUUGCAAUAUGUCCAAAACCUGACACAGAGGGAUGAGCUCCUGGCGGCCACCAUUCACCAUUAUGUCGAUGGACGCAAGGUGGAAACCCUCCAACAGUUUUGCGAAGGGCUAACUGUUUUUGGAGCCUUAGACCUUUUGAAGGCACACUCAACUCUGAUGUAGAAGGUGUUUGUUGAGGACCAGACGCCACUGCUCGCAGAACACAUCAGUGCAGCCUUCAGGGCUGGCACUCUCUCAGGGCGUGGUUCCAACCGCAGGCGGAUGGAGGCUAGAACCAUUGGCUUUUGGCUGGACUGGCUGCUGAAGGUGGAGGAUGGAGGAAGCACGCUGAAGUUGGGGGUCGUGUUGGCCUUUGCCACUGGCCUUCAGAAGAUCCCUGCAGCAGGCUUUCCAACACAGCCACAACUGCAUUUCCUCCACCCGGAGGACAGGGCCAGCAAGUUUCCCGACGGCCAACACCUGUGCCCUUAUUCUCAGGCUGCCAGUGUUUCCAACAUAUGGGCAGUUUGAAGGCGCCAUGGAGAAUGGCAUAAGCUGGGCUGGCCAAUUUGAAAGUUAACUCUCUUUGUCUUCUCUGUUUACUUCCUGCCCUGUGU